GACGAACGCUGGCGGCGUGCUUAACACAUGCAAGUCGAACGGAAAGGCCCUGCGUUUGUGGGGUGCUCGAGUGGCGAACGGGUGAUUAACACGUGUGUAACCUGCCCUUGACUUUGGUGUAACUUCAGGACACUGGGGCUAAUACCGGAUAGGAGCUCCUGCUGCAUGGUGGGGGUUGGAAAGUUUCGGCGGUUGGGGAUGGACUCGAGGCUUAUCAGCUUGUUGGUGGGGUAGUGGCUUACCAAGGCUGUGACGGGUAGCCGACCUGAGAGGGUGACCGGCCACAUGGGGACUGAGGUACGGCGCAGACUCCUACGGGAGACAGCAGUGGGGAGUAUUGCAGAAUGGGCGGGAGCCUGUGGCAGCAGCGCCGCGUGCGGGAUGACGGGCUUCUGGUUGUAAACCGCUUUCGCCUGUGCCGAAGCGUGAGUGACGGUAAUGGGUAAAGAAGCACCGGCUAACUACGUG
This 468-nucleotide ribosomal RNA is filed under the name uncultured bacterium. RNAcentral describes it as "partial 16S ribosomal RNA". It matches the Rfam family "Bacterial small subunit ribosomal RNA", at positions 28 to 507 of the family's 1533-position model. The record is from RNAcentral.